CCCGGGUCUUGUACACACCGCCCGUCACACCAUGGGAGCGGGAUGUACCAGAAGUAGGUAGGCUAACCGCAAGGGGGCCGCUUACCACGGUGCGUUUCGUGACUGGGGUG
This 110-nucleotide ribosomal RNA is filed under the name uncultured bacterium. RNAcentral describes it as "partial 16S ribosomal RNA". It matches the Rfam family "Bacterial small subunit ribosomal RNA", at positions 1373 to 1482 of the family's 1533-position model. The record is from RNAcentral.